Molecule: ribosomal RNA, 468 nt
Filed under: uncultured bacterium
Lineage: Bacteria
Description: partial 16S ribosomal RNA
Rfam family: Bacterial small subunit ribosomal RNA
Source: RNAcentral
GACGAACGCUGGCGGCGUGCUUAACACAUGCAAGUCGAACGGAAAGGCCCUGCUUUUGUGGGGUGCUCGAGUGGCGAACGGGUGAGUAACACGUGAGUAACCUGCCCUUGACUUUGGGGUAACUUCAGGAAACGGGGGCUAAUACCGGAUAGGAGCUCCUGCUGCAUGGUGGGGGUUGGAAAGUUUCGGCGGUUGGGGAUGGACUCGCGGCUUAUCAGCUUGGUGGUGGGGUAGUGGCUUACCAAGGCUUUGACGGGUAGCCGGCCUGAGAGGGUGACCGGCCACAUGGGGACUGAGAUACGGCCCAGACUCCUACGGGAGGCAGCAGUGGGGAAUAUUGCACAAUGGGCGGAAGCCUGAUGCAGCAACGCCGCGUGCGGGAUGACGGCCUUCGGGUUGUAAACCGCGUUCGCCUGUGACGAAGCGUGAGUGACGGUAAUGGGUAAAGAAGCACCGGCUAACUACGUG